GAUGAACGCUGGCGGCGUGCCUAAUACAUGCAAGUCGAGCGAACGGACGAGAAGCUUGCUUCUCUGAUGUUAGCGGCGGACGGGUGAGUAACACGUGGAUAACCUACCUAUAAGACUGGGAUAACUUCGGGAAACCGGAGCUAAUACCGGAUAAUAUUUUGAACCGCAUGGUUCAAAAGUGAAAGACGGUCUUGCUGUCACUUAUAGAUGGAUCCGCGCUGCAUUAGCUAGUUGGUAAGGUAACGGCUUACCAAGGCAACGAUGCAUAGCCGACCUGAGAGGGUGAUCGGCCACACUGGAACUGAGACACGGUCCAGACUCCUACGGGAGGCGCAGUAGGGAAUCUUCCGCAAUGGGCGAAAGCCUGACGGAGCAACGCCGCGUGAGUGAUGAAGGUCUUCGGAUCGUAAAACUCUGUUAUUAGGGAAGAACAUAUGUGUAAGUAACUGUGCACAUCUUGACGGUACCUAAUCAGAAAGCCACGGCUAACUACGUG
This 496-nucleotide ribosomal RNA is filed under the name uncultured bacterium. RNAcentral's name for it is "partial 16S ribosomal RNA". It matches the Rfam family "Bacterial small subunit ribosomal RNA", at positions 28 to 507 of the family's 1533-position model. The record is from RNAcentral.